AACACGUCAUUCCAUGGCGUUCGCGGGAUGGUCGUGUGUGCAGAUGGAGAAGUGGUGGCACAGUGUUUAGAAAAUAAAAACACUACCCUGGACCCACAGUUCAUGCCACAGUGUCAGUGAGACCCUCUGCUGUGUCGGCGUAUUUUGAGGCCUCAGGUAUAACACAGUGAACGAGACAGAGCCGGCCCUGCCUCGUGAAGCCCACCUCCUAGCAGGAAGCAACGACAAUGAUGCGAGGGACUCGCCACCUCAGUGGGGAGGCUGGGCCUCUUCUUUCCUGGAUGAUUGAUGCCGAAGAUGACCCCUCCCUAUCCAGAGGUCUGUGGUGUCUGCCACUUUAGGUUCAAAAGGGUCACACAGGAGCUAUACCGGCACACCUGCCUGCGGGGGCAGGAGGGGCAAGGUCCUUUCCUCACUGCAGCCUUGUGGCAUCUCAGAUAAGUCUGCAUCACAGGCUUUCUCUCUGUAGACACCUGCUCAGUGAGUAAGAGCUCAGACUCCGGGGAGAGACAGCAAGUUUUCAAGUCUUAGCCCUGCUGCUUCUUAAAUGAGUCACUUAAGCAUUUCCUGAACUUCCUUGCAUCUCAGUUCUCCAGGUGGAAAUCAGGGACAAGAGCAGCACUCAUCUCUCAGGGGUGUCGCAAGGAUUAAGUGAGAAAAUAAGACGAAAAACAAAAGAAAAGCAGAGGAGACAAGUUACAUAAUCUACGUACUGGAAGACUAAGCAUUUUUAUUUCUCAUUGCCGUUUGAAUUGAAAGGAACACUCAGUCCUGGAACAUGGUAAUUCGUCUCCUGUUUCUUUGUCCGAGACUACAAGUAGGAGAUAGUUCAGAGCGGUUGUUGCCAAUCAGAAAAUACAACAAAGCCGUGUAAACUUCUCAUUUGUUUACUGGCCACUUCCCUGGCAUCUCAGACAUCCUGUUAGCUCUCAGAGGCUCCAUCCAGGCACACCUAGGGUCCUUCAGAGGAAAAGGGGCCUCUGAAAAGUCUCCUCUUUUUAUUCUCUGAACAUGUCAUAGUUGAGUUUUUAAAGUGCUCUCCACCCUUGUUUGUUUCUUAAUGCAGUACCAAGAUGUAAUUUGUAUGGAAGCCAAAACUGGAGACAUGCUGAAUAUGUGAAUACCAAGGAAGUGGUUUCCUUAGCAAUAACAGGCAUGUGAAAGUCAAAACUUCCUUUCC
RNAcentral lists this long non-coding RNA (1180 nucleotides) under Equus caballus (horse). RNAcentral describes it as "lncRNA (ENSECAG00000055764.1)". The record is from RNAcentral. Lineage: Eukaryota; Metazoa; Chordata; Mammalia; Perissodactyla; Equidae.